Molecule: ribosomal RNA, 253 nt
Filed under: uncultured bacterium
Lineage: Bacteria
Description: partial 16S ribosomal RNA
Rfam family: Bacterial small subunit ribosomal RNA
Source: RNAcentral
UACGGAGGGGGCUAGCGUUGUCCGAAGUUACUGGGCGUAAAGCGCGCGUAGGCGGGUUGGUAAGUCCGCUGUGAAAGCCCGGAGCUCAACUCCGGAGGGUCGGUGGAUACUGCCAGUCUUGAAGGUGCUAGUGGGAGAUGGAAUUACCGGUGUAGCGGUGAAAUGCGUAGAUAUCGGUAGGAACACCAGUGGCGAAGGCGGUCUCCUGGGGCAUUCUUGACGCUGAGGCGCGAAAGCGUGGGGAGCAAACAGG